Heteronotia binoei (common prickly gecko) is the source of this 190-nucleotide long non-coding RNA. RefSeq lists it as uncharacterized. Lineage: Eukaryota; Metazoa; Chordata; Lepidosauria; Squamata; Gekkonidae. The record is from RefSeq and is a predicted model, not a curated record. The transcript is spliced from 3 exons.
UAGUGGUUAGGAGCAUGGACUCUAAUCUGGGAGAACUGAUUUGAUUCCCCAUUCUCACACAUGCAGCUGCUGGGUGACCUUGGGUCAGUCACAGUUCUCUCAGAGCUGUUCUCUCAAGAGCAGUUCUCAAAGAGCUCUCUCAGCCCCACCUACCUCACAGGAGUGUCUGUUGUGGGGAGAGGAAGGGAAG